AACGAACGCUGGCAGCAUGCCUAACACAUGCAAGUCGAACGAGACCUUCGGGUCUAGUGGCGCACGGGUGCGUAACGCGUGGGAACCUGCCCUUAGGUUCGGAAUAACUCCCCGAAAGGGGUGCUAAUACCGGAUAAUGUCUUCGGACCAAAGAUUUAUCGCCUUUGGAUGGGCCCGCGUUGGAUUAGCUAGUUGGUAGGGUAAAAGCCUACCAAGGCGACGAUCCAUAGCUGGUCUGAGAGGAUGAUCAGCCACACUGGGACUGAGACACGGCCCAGACUCCUACGGGAGGCAGCAGUGGGGAAUAUUGGACAAUGGGCGAAAGCCUGAUCCAGCAAUGCCGCGUGAGUGAUGAAGGCCUUAGGGUUGUAAAGCUUUUUUACCCGGGAUGAUAAUGACAGUACCGGGAGAAUAAGCUCCGGCUAACUCCGUG
This 433-nucleotide ribosomal RNA is filed under the name uncultured bacterium. Its description in RNAcentral is "partial 16S ribosomal RNA". It matches the Rfam family "Bacterial small subunit ribosomal RNA", at positions 29 to 507 of the family's 1533-position model. The record is from RNAcentral.